GACGAACGCUGGCGGCGUGCUUAACACAUGCAAGUCGAGCGGAAAGGCCCUUCGGGGUACUCGAGCGGCGAACGGGUGAGUAACACGUGAGUAACCUGCCCCAGACUUUGGGAUAACCCUCGGAAACGGGGGCUAAUACCGGAUACGACACAGCUUCGCAUGGGGUCUGUGUGGAAAGUUCUUCGGUUUGGGAUGGGCUCGCGGCCCAUCAGCUUGUUGGUGGGGUGAUGGCCUACCAAGGCGACGACGGGUAGCCGGCCUGAGAGGGCGACCGGCCACACUGGGCCUGCGGGACGCACCAGACUCCUACGGGGGGCAGCAGUGGGGAAUAUUGCCCAGUGGGCGGACGCGUGGUGCAGCGGCGCCGCGUGAGGGAUGAGGGCCUUCGGGUUGUAAACCGCUUUCAGCAGGGACGAAGCGUACGUGACGGUACCUGAAGAAGAAGCACCGGCCAACUACGUG
Molecule: ribosomal RNA, 462 nt
Filed under: uncultured bacterium
Lineage: Bacteria
Description: partial 16S ribosomal RNA
Rfam family: Bacterial small subunit ribosomal RNA
Source: RNAcentral